Ictalurus punctatus (channel catfish) is the source of this 775-nucleotide long non-coding RNA. NCBI's taxonomy places the organism in Eukaryota, Metazoa, Chordata, Actinopteri, Siluriformes, Ictaluridae. The record is from Ensembl.
UAUCAGUAGCCUAUUCAGUAGUGCUCGUCCUGUAGCUCAAUACGGAAGUUUCUGCCUUUUCUCAUUGCACAAGCGACUCUCUCUUUCUCCCUCCUCCGCGUGUGUUUGCACAAGUUUAUCUCCGAUUUUCAGCGCCGUGCUCACAACACACACACACACACACACACACACACACACACACACACCGCCGACCAGGAUGACUUUAAAACGGCUUUAAACGCUGGACCUCAGGCCUUGAAGACUUUCUCACUCUUGUGUAUGAGUCCUUGAUCAGUUCCCCUGCCCACAGACACACACACGCACAAACAAAUCCUCCGUAUGGAACCCAGUGCAGGAUCCAAAAAGACAGUAUGGGGUAACCUGCGCCAGAAAGCCAAGCCGUUGAUCCACUACGUCCGCGGCAACAGCCAAAGACACAUCAGGUCACAGGUUAGACCAGAGCGAGCGUUGGACCAUAGGACCAGCUCUUCAGUGCCUUCUUCCCCUUCCCAACCAGCCCGGCUUCCCGCUGCCAGCAGUCCCUCCACACCUGUCAGUCAGCCUGUGUUAGAGACAAGGGGCGGGGCCCAGUGUUCUGAGUCGCCAGCUGGGCCUACGAACUUAUCUGAUUGGAUACCACAGGACUUGGUGGAUGGCGGUGUUGAUGAGGAGCAGGACUUCUUGGACGCUGUAGAUGAGAUGGAGCUUCUCCCAGAGAACUCAACAGAGCAGAGGAAACGGGUUGAGAACCACCAUGACACUGAUGAUUCUUUCCAUGGCCCUGAGCAACCUGAAG